UACGUAGGGGGCAAGCGUUGUCCGGAAUUAUUGGGCGUAAAGCGCGCGCAGGCGGUCUCUUAAGUCUGAUGUGAAAGCCCACGGCUCAACCGUGGAGGGUCAUUGGAAACUGGAAGACUUGAAUGCGGAAGAGGAAAGUGGAAUUCCAUGUGUAGCGGUGAAAUGCGUAGAGAUGUGGAGGAACACCAGUGGCGAAGGCGACUUUCUGGUCUGUAACUGACGCUGAGGCGCGAAAGCGUGGGGCGCGAACAGG
Molecule: unclassified non-coding RNA, 253 nt
Filed under: uncultured Caryophanales bacterium
Lineage: Bacteria; Bacillati; Bacillota; Bacilli; Caryophanales
Description: uncultured Bacillales bacterium contains 16S-23S intergenic spacer region
Rfam family: Bacterial small subunit ribosomal RNA
Source: RNAcentral